CGGGUGAGUAAUGUCUGGGAAACUGCCUGAUGGAGGGGGAUAACUACUGGAAACGGUAGCUAAUACCGCAUAACGUCGCAAGACCAAAGAGGGGGACCUUCGGGCCUCUUGCCAUCGGAUGUGCCCAGAUGGGAUUAGCUAGUAGGUGGGGUAACGGCUCACCUAGGCGACGAUCCCUAGCUGGUCUGAGAGGAUGGCCAGCCACACUGGAACUGAGACACGGUCCAG
RNAcentral lists this ribosomal RNA (228 nucleotides) under uncultured bacterium. RNAcentral's name for it is "partial 16S ribosomal RNA". It matches the Rfam family "Bacterial small subunit ribosomal RNA", at positions 103 to 334 of the family's 1533-position model. The record is from RNAcentral.